AUACGUAGGCGGCGAGCGUUGUCCGGAUUUACUGGGCGUAAAGAGUGCGUAGGCGGAUGUUUAAGUGAGAUGUGAAAUACCCGAGCUCAACUUGGGUGCUGCAUUUCAAACUGGGCAUCUAGAGUGCAGGAGAGGAAAGCGGAAUUCCUAGUGUAGCGGUGAAAUGCGUAGGGAUUAGGAAGAACACCAGUGGCGAAGGCGGGUUUCUGGCCUGGAACUGACGCUGAGGCACGAAUGCGUGGGGAGAAGACAGGAUUAAAUCCCCUGGUAUUCCACGCCGUAAACGAUGGGUACUAGGUGUCGGGGGUCCAACCUCGGUGCCGCAGUAAACACAUUAAGUACCCCGCCUGGGGAGUACGGUCGCAAGAUUAAAACUCAAAGGAAUUGACGGGG
RNAcentral lists this ribosomal RNA (393 nucleotides) under uncultured bacterium. RNAcentral describes it as "partial 16S ribosomal RNA". It matches the Rfam family "Bacterial small subunit ribosomal RNA", at positions 523 to 918 of the family's 1533-position model. The record is from RNAcentral.